ACGGGGAAUUAGGGUUCGAUUCCGGAGAGGGAGCCUGAGAAACGGCUACCACAUCUAAGGAAGGCAGCAGGCGCGCAAAUUACCCAAUCCUAAUACAGGGAGGUAGUGACAAGAAAUAACAAUACAGAGCCUUACGGUUUUGUAAUUGGAAUGAGUUAAGUAUAAACCCCUUAACAAGUAUCAAUUGGAGGGCAAGUCUGGUGCCAGCAGCCGCGGUAAUUCCAGCUCCAAUAGCGUAUAUAAAAGUUGUUGCAGUUAAAAAGCUCGUAGUUAAUUUUCUGUUAAUUUUUAUAUACAAUACUACGGUAUUUAUAUAAUAUUAACAUAAUUCAUAUUACUUUUUAGUAUAUGAAACUUUACUUUGAGAAAAUUARAGUGCUUAAAGCAGGCUAUUGCCUUGAAUACUCCAGCAUGGAAUAAUAUUAAGGAUUUUUAUUCUUCUUAUUGGUUCUAGAAUAAAAAUAAUGAUUAAUAGGGACAGUUGGGGGCAUUUGUAUUUAACAGUCAGAGGUGAAAUUCUUAGAUUUGUUAAAGACAAACUACUGCGAAAGCAUUUGCCAAGGAUGUUUUCAUUAAUCAAGAACGAAAGUUAGGGGAUCGAAGACGAUCAGAUACCGUCGUAUUCUU
RNAcentral lists this ribosomal RNA (627 nucleotides) under Cryptosporidium ryanae. Its description in RNAcentral is "SSU rRNA". It matches the Rfam family "Eukaryotic small subunit ribosomal RNA", at positions 364 to 1038 of the family's 1831-position model. Lineage: Eukaryota; Apicomplexa; Conoidasida; Eucoccidiorida; Cryptosporidiidae. The record is from RNAcentral.